GUGCCCUCCGACGGAUCAAGCGAUUUGGUUGAUGAGGGAUCAGAUCAACCGAGUUCGAAAAACUUUACUGUAGAACGAGUUUAGCUGAAUGAGCUGAAUGGAUGAAAUGAACAGUAGUUUGGGUCGGUUGAAGAGUUGAAUGCCUUUAUAUAUUGAAUUUAAAUUUAGAAAUUUGUAUAAAAGAGAGUGUGCCUUUAGGGCAUACAUACUCUGAAAAACUAACUUAGAACUAUUCCUACGAAAAGCAGUAGAUGCGGGAAAGAAAAAGAUUACAAGUGAACAACUCUUAGAAAUGCGAAGAAAAUGUAGAGGAAAUAAAAGUGGUCUUCUGUUCUCGGGGGACAAGACCUCUCUUUUAGGUGUUAUUUGUAUAUUUAUAGUCUGCUAUUAUUGUUCAGUUAUUGCCCACGAUCGACCACUUUUCUAUUUUUGCGUGCCAUUACGAGCCGAUCCAAAACUACCCGUAACCGCUUGCAGUUACGCCU
Molecule: long non-coding RNA, 485 nt
Filed under: Ananas comosus (pineapple)
Lineage: Eukaryota; Viridiplantae; Streptophyta; Magnoliopsida; Poales; Bromeliaceae
Description: long non-coding RNA (ACOM_LNC035811)
Source: RNAcentral